RNAcentral lists this long non-coding RNA (454 nucleotides) under Vigna radiata. Its description in RNAcentral is "long non-coding RNA (VRAD_LNC014226)". Lineage: Eukaryota; Viridiplantae; Streptophyta; Magnoliopsida; Fabales; Fabaceae. The record is from RNAcentral.
AGGUUAGAAAAUAUAUACCAUGUUAAAAGAAAUUUAGAGGUUGAGAUACAAAAGAAUGGUUAAAUAUAUUUUUAGUCUCUAAACUAUCAUGCUAUUUUGAGUUUAGUCCCUCUUCGAAAGGUUUAUUAAUUUUCGUCCUCUUAGUUAGAAAACUCGUAUUUGUAGUCCUUAAAAAGCAACUACGAUUUUCUGUGAGAUGGUUAACGGUGAGCCACGUUACUUUUCCUUUUUCUAAAACGUGGAUCCUUCCUUCCUGCAUCUUCACGCUAAAGCUUCUCUCCCUCCCUUAUUCAUCUCCAUCAUCCUCCAACUCUCUUCAUCGUUGGGUCGCCCCCUCUCCUUCCAUCUCCGACUGGUGGCAAAUGCCCCAUACCGACCAGACCGACACCAACAUCUCCUGCUCCUCUCCAUCACCGACAAGUACCUUUUCCUUCCUCUGUCUUGUUUCUCCCUC